GAUGAACGCUGGCGGCGUGCCUAAUACAUGCAAGUCGAGCGAACGGACGAGAAGCUUGCUUCUCUGAUGUUAGCGGCGGACGGGUGAGUAACACGUGGAUAACCUACCUAUAAGACUGGGAUAACUUCGGGAAACCGGAGCUAAUACCGGAUAAUAUUUUGAACCGCAUGAUUCAAAAGUGAAAGACGGUCUUGCUGUCACUUAUAGAUGGAUCCGCGCUGCAUUAGCUAGUUGGUAAGGUAACGGCUUACCAAGGCAACGAUGCAUAGCCGACCUGAGAGAGUGAUAGGCGACACUGGAACUGAGACACGGUCCAGACUCCUACGGGAGGCAGCAGUAGGCAAUCUGCCGCAAUGGGCGAAAGCCUGACGGAGCAACGCCGCGUGAGUGAUGAAGGUCUUCGGAUCGUAAAACUCUGUUAUUAGGGAAGAACAUAUGUGUAAGUAACUGUGCACAUCUUGACGGUACCUAAUCAGAAAGCCACGGCUAACUACGUG
Molecule: ribosomal RNA, 497 nt
Filed under: uncultured bacterium
Lineage: Bacteria
Description: partial 16S ribosomal RNA
Rfam family: Bacterial small subunit ribosomal RNA
Source: RNAcentral